This 274-nucleotide ribosomal RNA is filed under the name uncultured bacterium. RNAcentral describes it as "partial 16S ribosomal RNA". It matches the Rfam family "Bacterial small subunit ribosomal RNA", at positions 523 to 796 of the family's 1533-position model. The record is from RNAcentral.
AUACGGAGGGUGCAAGCGUUACUCGGAAUCACUGGGCGUAAAGCGCGCGUAGGCGGUUCGGUAAGUUGGAUGUGAAAGCCCAGGGCUCAACCUUGGAACUGCAUUCAAAACUGCCAGGCUAGAGUACGGUAGAGGGGGGUAGAAUUCCACGUGUAGCGGUGAAAUGCGUAGAGAUGUGGAGGAAUACCAGUGGCGAAGGCGGCCCCCUGGAUCGAUACUGACGCUGAGGUGCGAAAGCGUGGGGAGCAAACAGGAUUAGAAACCCCUGUAGUCC